CGACCGCUGGCGGCAGGCCUAACACAUGCAAGUCGAACGAACCUUUCGGGGUUAGUGGCGGACGGGUGAGUACCACGUGGGAACGUGCCUUUAGGUUCGGAAUAACUCAGGGAAACUUGUGCUAAUACCGAAUGUGCCCUUCGGGGGAAAGAUUAAUCGCCUUUAGAGCGGCCCGCGUCUGAUUAGCUAGUUGGUUGAGGUAAUGGCUCACCAAGGCGACGAUCAGUAGCUGGUCUGAGAGGAUGAUCAGCCACAUUGGGACUGAGACACGGCCCAAACUCCUACGGGAGGCAGCAGUGGGGAAUCUUGCGCAAUGGGCGAAAGCCUGACGCAGCCAUGCCGCGUGAAUGAUGAAGGUCUUAGGAUUGUAAAAUUCUUUCACCGGGGACGAUAAUGACGGUACCCGGAGAAGAAGCCCCGGCUAACCUCGUG
Molecule: ribosomal RNA, 432 nt
Filed under: uncultured bacterium
Lineage: Bacteria
Description: partial 16S ribosomal RNA
Rfam family: Bacterial small subunit ribosomal RNA
Source: RNAcentral